Molecule: transfer RNA, 74 nt
Filed under: Nanobdellota archaeon
Lineage: Archaea; Nanobdellati; Nanobdellota
Description: tRNA-His
Rfam family: tRNA
About the family: Transfer RNA (tRNA) molecules are approximately 80 nucleotides in length.
Source: RNAcentral
GCGGCCAUAGUUCAAUGGUAGAAUAGGGGACUGUGGAUCCCUUGGCGCGAGUUCGAUUCUCGCUGGCCGCCCCA